AGCAGCCGCGGUAAUUCCAGCUCCAAUAGCGUAUAUUAAAGUUGUUGCAGUUAAAAAGCUCGUAGUUGAAUUUCGAGAUCAAAUUGUUGGUCGUGCCUCGGUACGUACUGGCAUUAUUGAUUUCUCCCUUCUGAAGAACCUUGUUGUCAUUAAUUUGGUGUCUUGGGGAAUCAGGACCGUUACUUUGAAAAAAUUAGAGUGUUUAAAGCAGGCUCACGCUUGAAUACAUUAGCAUGGAAUAAUGAGAUAGGACGUUUGAUUCUAUUUUGUUGGUUUCUAGGAUCGACGUAAUGAUUAAUAGGGAUAGUUGGGGGCAUUAGUAUUCAAUUGUCAGAGGUGAAAUUCUUGGAUUUAUUGAAGACUAACUACUGCGAAAGCAUUUGCCAAGGAUGUUUUCAUUAAUCAAGAACGAAAGUUAGGGGAUCGAAGACGAUCAGAUACCGUCGUAGUCUUAACCAUAAACUAUGCCGACUAGGGAUCGGAUGAUGUUAAUUUUUUAAUGACUCA
This 507-nucleotide ribosomal RNA is filed under the name uncultured Glomeromycotina. RNAcentral's name for it is "SSU rRNA". It matches the Rfam family "Eukaryotic small subunit ribosomal RNA", at positions 569 to 1078 of the family's 1831-position model. The record is from RNAcentral. Lineage: Eukaryota; Fungi; Glomeromycota.